CUAAUACCGGAUAGGACCUUCCGUCGCAUGGUGGGGGGUGGAAAGUUUUUCGGCUGGGGAUGGGCCCGCGGCCUAUCAGCUUGUUGGUGGGGUGAUGGCCUACCAAGGCGGCGACGGGUAGCCGGCCUGAGAGGGCGACCGGCCACACUGGGACUGAGACACGGCCCAGACUCCUACGGGAGGCAGCAGUGGGGAAUAUUGCGCAAUGGGCGGAAGCCUGACGCAGCGACGCCGCGUGGGGGAUGACGGCCUUCGGGUUGUAAACCUCUUUCGUCAUCGACGAAGUCCCCGGGUUUUCCUGGGGGUGACGGUAGGUGGAGAAGAAGCACCGGCCAACUACGUGCCAGCAGCUGCGGUAAUACGUAGGGUGCGAGCGUUGUCCGGGAUUAUUGGGCGUAAAGAGCUCGUACGCGGUGUGUCGCGUCGGUCGUGAAAACCUGCGCUCAACUGUGGGCGUGCGGUCGAUACGGGCAUCACUGGAGUUCGGCAGGGGAGACUGGAAUUCCUGGUGUAGCGGUGAAAUGCGCAUAUAUCAGGACGAACACCUGUGGCGAAGGCGGGUCUCUGGGCCGAUACUGACGCUGAGGAGCGAAAGCGUGGGGAGCGAACAGGAUUAGAUACCCUGGUAGUCCACGCCGUAAACGGUGGGCGCUAGGUGUGGGGGCCAUUCCACCGUCUCUGUGCCGCAGCUAACGCAUUAAUCUCCUCCUCUGGGGACUACGGCCUCUAGGUUAUAACUCGAAGGAUUUGACCGGAGCCCGCACAACCGCCCGAGCAUGCGGAUAAUUCGA
Molecule: ribosomal RNA, 791 nt
Filed under: uncultured Actinomycetes bacterium
Lineage: Bacteria; Bacillati; Actinomycetota; Actinomycetes
Description: bacterial SSU rRNA
Rfam family: Bacterial small subunit ribosomal RNA
Source: RNAcentral